GCAGCCGUAGCUCAGUGGCAGAGCUGAAGCCUUCCAAGCUUAAGACGAGGGUUCGAUUCCCACCGGCUGCUCCA
This 74-nucleotide transfer RNA is filed under the name Herbaspirillum frisingense. RNAcentral's name for it is "tRNA-Gly". It matches the Rfam family "tRNA". Rfam says of the family: Transfer RNA (tRNA) molecules are approximately 80 nucleotides in length. Their secondary structure includes four short double-helical elements and three loops (D, anti-codon, and T loops). Further hydrogen bonds mediate the characteristic L-shaped molecular structure. tRNAs have two regions of fundamental functional importance: the anti-codon, which is responsible for specific mRNA codon recognition, and the 3' end, to which the tRNAs corresponding amino acid is attached (by aminoacyl-tRNA synthetases). tRNAs cope with the degeneracy of the genetic code in two manners: having more than one tRNA (with a specific anti-codon) for a particular amino acid; and 'wobble' base-pairing, i.e. permitting non-standard base-pairing at the 3rd anti-codon position. The record is from RNAcentral. Lineage: Bacteria; Pseudomonadati; Pseudomonadota; Betaproteobacteria; Burkholderiales; Oxalobacteraceae.